CUGCUGAGUCCUGAGACAGCGCUCUGAGCAGGGCCGAGGUUACAGAUGGAGCCUUUGUAAGGACAGCUGAAUGAAAUUAUAAGUACAGUGCACUGAGACAUUGGAAAGGGGCAGGACUACAGUCAGAAGUACCACUCAACCUAGCUGGGAACCGGCCAGCUCUCUGUUAAGGAUUUUAAUACUCAUGACAGAUGCCACAAGGUGAUGCUGCUAGCCCAUUUUCUACGUGAGGAAAUCCAGAAGUUCAGUGAGCUGCUCAAGCUCCCACAGCUGUCCAGGUCCAGCAGCCAUCAGGGCAGCUCUCUUCUCAAAGAUGUGCAGGGAUCCAGGCUUCCAUGGUGUAGCCAUGCCAUCUGGAGCACGUGGCUUCCAAGAUUGCCAAGGUAUAUCAACAUAUUUUUGGAUAGCAGUUUCAGAAUUUUGGAAGCAGAAUUGAAGUCUAUGAGGGUGAGGACUUGUCAUUGGAUUUAGGGCCCACCCUAACCCAGGAUGAUCUCAAGAUCCUUAACUCAAUUCCAUCUGCAAAGACUGUCUUGCCAAAUAAUUUCACACUUACAGGUUCCGAGUGGAUGUAUUUGGGGGGCCGCAAUUCAACUUCCUACAGCCACCAUCUAGAAAGAACAAAUGGUUACGUCUUGUCAUAUAUACCUCAGAUAUUUUUUAAUUAAAAAA
Diceros bicornis minor is the source of this 672-nucleotide long non-coding RNA. RefSeq lists it as uncharacterized. The record is from RefSeq and is a predicted model, not a curated record. The transcript has 4 exons. Lineage: Eukaryota; Metazoa; Chordata; Mammalia; Perissodactyla; Rhinocerotidae.